Molecule: ribosomal RNA, 585 nt
Rfam family: 5.8S ribosomal RNA (bases 196-349)
UCCGUAGGUGAACCUGCGGAGGGAUCAUUACAGAGUAGCCAUAGGCUCUCCAACCCACUGUGAACAUACCCAUCGUUCCCUCGGCGGGCUCAGCGCGCGGCUGCCCUCGGGCUCCGCGCGUCCGCCGGGGACAAGCAAACUCGUUUUUUAUGGUGAAUCUCUGAGGGGCGAGAGCCCGCAAGCAAAAUAAAUCAAAACUUUCAACAACGGAUCUCUUGGCUCUGGCAUCGAUGAAGAACGCAGCGAAAUGCGAUAAGUAAUGUGAAUUGCAGAAUUCAGUGAAUCAUCGAAUCUUUGAACGCACAUUGCGCCCGCCGGCACUCCGGCGGGCAUGCCUGUCCGAGCGUCAUUUCAACCCUCAGGGACCCCCUUCGGGGGGUAACUGGUGCUGGGGAUCAGAGCGCCGUCCGCGGCACCCUGUCCCCCAAAUCGAGUGGCGGUCGCGCCGCAGCCUCCCCUGCGUAGUAGCACAACCUCGCACCGGAGAGCGGCUCGGCCACGCCGUGAAACCCCCAACUCUUUCAAGGUUGACCUCGGAUCAGGUAGGAAUACCCGCUGAACUUAAGCAUAUCAAUAAGCGGAGGA